GACGAACGCUGGCGGCGUGCUUAACACAUGCAAGUCGAACGGAAAGGCCCCUUUGGGGGUCCUCGAGUGGCGAACGGGUGAGUAACACGUGAGUAACCUGCCCUUGACUUCGGGAUAACUUCAGGAAACUGGGGCUAAUACCGGAUAGGAAUCCUUGCUGCAUGGUGGGGGUUGGAAAGCUUCGGCGGUUUUGGAUGGACUCGCGGCUUAUCAGCUUGUUGGUGGGGUAGUGGCUUACCAAGGCUUUUGCGGGUAGCCGGCCUGGGAGGGCGACCGGCCACAGUGGGACUGAGAUACGGCCCAGACUCCUACGGGAGGGAGCAGUGGGGAAUAUUGAAAAAGGGGAGGAAGCCAGAGGCAGAAACGGCGCGGGCGGGAUGACGGCCUUGGGGUUGGAAACCGCAUUCAGCAGGGGCGAAGCUUGUGGUGACGGUACCUGCAGAAGAAGCACCGGCUAACUACGUG
This 465-nucleotide ribosomal RNA is filed under the name uncultured bacterium. RNAcentral's name for it is "partial 16S ribosomal RNA". It matches the Rfam family "Bacterial small subunit ribosomal RNA", at positions 28 to 507 of the family's 1533-position model. The record is from RNAcentral.